CGUUGCCGGACGGGACGACCCGGAUGAUGCAAGCCCAUCGGUUUAAGUUUAACCCCUGCAUCCAUAUUCUCUCUUUUUUCUCUUUAAUUCUCUAUUCCGAUGUCGGCCUUGUCUACCCGCGUCUUUGUCUAUUGAAUGGUAUUGGAUGCUAUUAAGACAUGGGGUUGAUGGUUCUGUGAGAUGGAAAUCUGCACUCGUGCAUGCUCGAAAGCUUCAAUCGUGGUCAAACUGAAUUGCAGGGAUUCCAAAGUAGCCAGUUCUUCCCCAACUGCACAGUUGAAUUUUAAAGCAAAAAGCUGACAAAACCCAACAGAAUUACUGAAGCCACAACAAGGACAACAAUCAAGGCAACUGCUCGUGAUGAAAGUUUCUUCUUUCCUGCAUUUUUUUUUUUUUAAAAAGAAAUCCAUAGAAAGAAUAUUCAUUCUCUGACGGUUCAAAAGCAAAUAAUAAACACGAAAUUAACAAUAUUACAUGUGUACUGUAAGUUAUCAAAAAGGUCUAGUGAUUGUCUAGGAAGCUUGUAAAUCCACAAAAGCUGUUCUUUUAUAUUUCUUGAGAAAAUAGUAGUUUUUUUUUUUUUUUUUGCAAUUCAAAAUCUCAAGCACUAAUAGCUUGAGAUUAUGAGAAGAACAAAUCCGCAACCUCGCACUUAAAGGCAAUUUUUAUGCCAUUAGGCCACAACGCAUUGGCAAAUAGUAUUGUUUUCCAAUACUUCGAGACUCUGAUAUGAUCUCAAUCUCAUCUCAUCUGAUUAAUCAAAAACUAGGUAGGAUCUGGAACACUCGAAGAAUCUUCUUGUCAGGUUUACAUUAACAUAUUAGAACAGUUCUUAUUGAAAAUGUACAAGAAAUUGAUGAAUCCCAGGUGGAAAAUCCAUAUAUAAAAACUAGCUCAGUGGACUUUCCAAACAAAAAUAUAAAUAAACAA
Molecule: long non-coding RNA, 930 nt
Organism: Neltuma alba
Lineage: Eukaryota; Viridiplantae; Streptophyta; Magnoliopsida; Fabales; Fabaceae
Exons: 4
Source: RefSeq, a predicted model, not a curated record